CCCCGNGAUGGGAUGGAAACUAGUAGGCUAGAGUAUNGGAGAGGAAAGCGGAAUUCCUAGUGUAGCGGUGAAAUGCGUAGAUAUUAGGAAGAACACCAGUGGCGAAGGCGGCUUUCUGGACGAAAACUGACGCUGAGGCGCGAAAGCCAGGGGAGCGAACGGGAUUAGAUACCCCGGUAGUCCUGGCCGUAAACGAUGGGUACUAGGUGUAGGAGGUAUCGACCCCUUCUGUGCCGGAGUUAACGCAAUAAGUACCCCGCCUGGGGAGUACGGUCGCAAGGCUGAGACUCAAAGGAAUUGACGGGGGCCCGCACAAGCGGUGGAGUAUGUGGUUUAAUUCGACGCAACGCGAAGAACCUUACCAGGUCUUGACAUUGAUGGACGAAACAAGAGAUUGUUUUUCUCCUUCGGGAGCCAGAAAACAGGUGGUGCACGGCUGUCGUCAGCUCGUGUCGUGAGAUGUUGGGUUAAGUCCCGCANNNNNCGCAACCCCUAUCUUAUGUUGCCAGCACGUAAUGGUGGGAACUCAUGAGAGACUGCCGCAGACAAUGCGGAGGAAGGCGGGGACGACGUCAAGUCAUCAUGCCCCUUAUGGCCUGGGCUACACACGUACUACAAUGGGCUUUAAUAGAGGGAAGCGAAGCCGCGAGGUGGAGCAAACCCCAGAAACAAGCUCUCAGUUCGGAUCGUAGGCUGCAACUCGCCUACGUGAAGUCGGAAUCGCUAGUAAUCGCAGGUCAGCAUACUGCGGUGAAUACGUUCCCGGGCCUUGUNC
RNAcentral lists this ribosomal RNA (775 nucleotides) under uncultured bacterium. Its description in RNAcentral is "bacterial SSU rRNA". It matches the Rfam family "Bacterial small subunit ribosomal RNA", at positions 614 to 1386 of the family's 1533-position model. The record is from RNAcentral.